RNAcentral lists this unclassified non-coding RNA (477 nucleotides) under Hevea brasiliensis (rubber tree). The record is from RNAcentral. Lineage: Eukaryota; Viridiplantae; Streptophyta; Magnoliopsida; Malpighiales; Euphorbiaceae.
UGGAAAGAAGGCAGUUGGUCCUUUGGAUGAAAAUUCAGGAAAGAAAUUGGUAGAGUGGAUUUGGGAUCUUUAUGGAAGCGGCAAACUGAGCAUAGCUGUUGAUGAAAGACUUCAUCAGGAUUUUGAUAAAAAAGAAGCAGAGUGUUUAAUGAUGGUUGGACUAUGGUGUGCCCAUCCUGAUUAUAAUCUGAGGCCCACAAUAAGGCAAGCAAUUCAUGUUCUUAAUUUCGAAGCUGAAUUGCCAAAUCUUCCUACAAAAAUGCCAGUUCCUUUGUAUCAUGUGCCCAUACCAUCAGUUAGCUCUAAUGAACCCUUAAUAUCAUAUUCAAGCAUCGAGGCAGGUCGUUAGUUCCUGCUGAACACACACAUACGCACACACCUGGAAAAAUCAAAGAAGCUGUGUGAGAAAUCACUUUCUUUGCAGGAAGGCCUGCAUUGAAAUCAAUGAACUUAAAUUGAAAUACUUUAUUGUAAUAA